This 22-nucleotide non-coding RNA is filed under the name Mus musculus (house mouse). The record is from RNAcentral. Lineage: Eukaryota; Metazoa; Chordata; Mammalia; Rodentia; Muridae.
UGGAAAUCCGCUUGGGCACAAC